CGAUUAACUAACUAUAUCUCUAUUUCGAUUCAAACCAAACAAUCGCAUUAAAUCUUUGUGAAAUAACUCAAUGGGUCACCUAGAAUUAGGGAUACAUCUAUAACCCCUAGAGUUUUUACUAUUUGAUCUAAAAUGUACAAUCGUCUCUCGAACGAUGUAAAAAUCAUUAAGCGUAAUCAUUCAUUAACUACAUAAAUGAAAAUUCAAGAAAUAACAAUAAUAAAAACACAUGAAAAUAAAUAAAUUAAUAUUAAAGAGCAAAUAUCAAAAUUAAUUAAAACUAGGUUAAACUAAUACCAUAAAUCCCAAUAAGAGAAAUUAGCCCAUAUUAUAUAUAUGAUAACAAAGAAGAAUAUUUAUCCAAUACAUCACAAAUGAUAGAAAAUAAACCUUUUUUGUUGGAUUUUUUCUCGAAUCUUGAGUUUUUCAUUUGUUCUCCACAUUUUCUUUGAUUUAUUCUCCUUGUUGUACUCUUGAUUUGCUCCAAAAUACCCAGAUAAAUUAAAGGAAGAAGAAAGGAAACAAGGAAGAAAAGAAAGAAAAU
Molecule: long non-coding RNA, 544 nt
Filed under: Olea europaea subsp. europaea
Lineage: Eukaryota; Viridiplantae; Streptophyta; Magnoliopsida; Lamiales; Oleaceae
Source: RNAcentral